Tetranychus urticae (two-spotted spider mite) is the source of this 1107-nucleotide long non-coding RNA. RefSeq lists it as uncharacterized. NCBI's taxonomy places the organism in Eukaryota, Metazoa, Arthropoda, Arachnida, Trombidiformes, Tetranychidae. The record is from RefSeq and is a predicted model, not a curated record.
GAAAUAGAUUGUUUCGCAUCAAUUGAUUUUAAUAUUUAUUGUUUUAUUUCUCAAUCGAUUUACAGAGGACAGUUUGAUUGAACAUCAAGAUUUGUUUGGUUUUUGUGGAUAAAAGUAGUUUAUUUUUGUGUUCAAUCAUCAUCACCAACAUCAAUCUUCCAGCCAAAUUAUCCUAAUAGGGCUAUUUGGAAAUCAAUAUCACUGUUUACUCUUUUCAUUGAUCAAUUCUGCUACAAAUUUUACCAAUUAUCCAUUAAUUAAUACAAUAUGAGUAUGUAUUAGACUUGAUAGAAUAAUUACCAAAAGAAACUUGCAACCAGCUGGCAAAGAAAAUCGAGUCCAUUUGAUGAGUUGUAAUCAUUCAUUUUAUAUGACAUUUCGCAUCACAUCAAUAUGAAUUUACAAUUGUUUCAAUUAGGCUCACUGGGUCAAUCGCAGUUAGUCCAACAGACAGCGUUUAAUCUAAAGAUCUAGUUUUAAAAUGAAUUACCAAGGGAACCUGGACUUUGCGUUAUUCCCACAGAUAAACGUUUUCAGCUCAUUUAUGUCUUAGUUGAAUAAUUUGUAGCAGAAACUUGUUUUCCUCGUUUGUAGCUGAAGCUGUCAUCGUCAAAAUGGAAACAUCUUAAUGUCACCUUUGCGCACAACCUGGUUAAGGCCAUCACCACCAUCAGUAUCAUUGGUAUGAGAUAACCUUAGGCCUUGGCUUCUUCUAAACAGAAGUCUUUUCAUCAUUUGAAAGAGAAUCUUUGAAUAUCGAAUUGUGGGAAGGAUGAUUAGUUGAUUAUACAAUUUAUGUAUCAUUAACAAGUAAAAGUCAUGAGAAAAAUUUGAAUUGUUAAGAUUGCAAGAUCUCUUUGGCUGGAAAUACGUGUGAAACUAUUUUGUGAUUUUGUUUUCUUUUUGUGGCUCAAGCUGAACAUUUGGAAGCAAUUACUUUUGAUUGAAGAUAAUUUAGAAACUAAUAUUUACAGGAAAAAAUCUGAAAAUUGUAAACUUAUUACCAAGAUGGUUAACUUGAUUGUAAGAACACAAUGAAAUUGACUCUUUUUUACCGUCUUGUGAAUGUAAAAUCUGGUUUUGUUCAACUAUUAAAUUACAAUAACA